GGGGAAGUAGCUCAGUGGUAGAGCAGUAGACGCAAAUAAACUAUUGGUCGCGGGUUCGAGUCCCGUCUUCCCCG
RNAcentral lists this transfer RNA (74 nucleotides) under Aeromonas phage PX29. RNAcentral's name for it is "tRNA-Leu". It matches the Rfam family "tRNA". Rfam says of the family: Transfer RNA (tRNA) molecules are approximately 80 nucleotides in length. The record is from RNAcentral. Lineage: Duplodnaviria; Heunggongvirae; Uroviricota; Caudoviricetes; Pantevenvirales; Straboviridae.